Vombatus ursinus (common wombat) is the source of this 342-nucleotide long non-coding RNA. RefSeq lists it as uncharacterized. Lineage: Eukaryota; Metazoa; Chordata; Mammalia; Diprotodontia; Vombatidae. The record is from RefSeq and is a predicted model, not a curated record. The transcript has 2 exons.
CAAGAAUGGUGGCCGUUGGAAGGAAGAGGCAUGUUUGAGAGAUAUUUUGGAGAUAGAAUUGACAGCACUUGGCAACUAACUGGAUAUUGGAGCAUACCUGAGAAGUGGCCAUCCAGUCUCUGGUUGAAGAUCUCCAGUGAAGCAGAAUCCAUUAUGAUCUGAGAGCUGAAAUGGGAGGGACUCAAGAUUCAAACUCAGUUCCCCCUGCUUCUGAUUACAGUAUUCUUUCCACUACACCAUAUUUUCUUUUAUAUUCUUUCCCUUGGUCAUCUCAAUAGCUUUCAUGGGUUCACUAAUCACCUGGAUGCAGAUAAUUUCCCAUAUUAUACUAUCAAGCAGUAA